UGCCAGCCGCCGCGGUAAUACAGAGGUCUCAAGCGUUGUUCGGAAUCACUGGGCGUAAAGGGUGCGUAGGUGGCGUGGUAAGCCAGAUGUGAAAGCCCAGAGCUCAACUCUGGAAUUGCAUCCGAUACUGCCAUGCUAGAGAACUGGAGGGGUGUCUAGAAUUCUCGGUGUAGCAGUGAAAUGCGUAGAUAUCGAGAGGAAUACCAAUGGCGAAGGCAGGACACUGGACAGUUUCUGACACUGAGGCACGAAGGCUAGGGUAGCGAACGGGAUUAGAUA
This 279-nucleotide ribosomal RNA is filed under the name uncultured bacterium. RNAcentral's name for it is "partial 16S ribosomal RNA". It matches the Rfam family "Bacterial small subunit ribosomal RNA", at positions 506 to 784 of the family's 1533-position model. The record is from RNAcentral.